AAUAAGAACUUAUUAAAAACUUAAGAUAAUUAAAAUUAUUGUGAAUUGGAAUAGACUUCUAAUUAUACAGAGAUUUAUUUUACUUCACAUAGGCAUUGAUAUAAGUUUGGCAAUAGUAUUAAAAGUUGAGCUUAUUGUUCAAUGGUACAUUCAUGUAGAUACUAAAAUUAUAUCUUUCCAAUCAAUUUGACAUCAUCUUUAAAGAUUGUUGAUUAUGUAUCCUAAACAACUACAACCUUUUGUCAUUCUUGAUUAUUUUAGGUAAUUUUUUUGUAAUGCCAUGCUUAUUAGUGAUGAAGAUUUGAGAAGAUUAAGAAAGGUAGACUUAUUGAUUGCUAGAUGGUCUUGUCAAGGUCAUUCCUACAUUAAAGCAAGUCAAGAGCUAAAUGAUCUUUAAUUUAAUUCAUUUACAAAUUUGAUUUAAUUUACAUAAUAGUGGUUUAUGCAUUAAACCACACCACUUGGAUAUAUUUUUGAAAAUAUAUCACUAUUAGGUGAUAUUCAAACACAAAUGUUAGAGUCUUA
RNAcentral lists this long non-coding RNA (525 nucleotides) under Physcomitrium patens. Its description in RNAcentral is "long non-coding RNA (PPAT_LNC000485)". Lineage: Eukaryota; Viridiplantae; Streptophyta; Bryopsida; Funariales; Funariaceae. The record is from RNAcentral.